GUGCUUGCUUUGGCAGCAUGUAUAUUAAAAUCAGAAUGAUACACAUUAGCAUGGGCUUGUAUAAGGCUGACACAAAUUUCUGAAGUGUUCCAUGUUUUA
This 99-nucleotide small nuclear RNA is filed under the name Procavia capensis (Cape rock hyrax). Lineage: Eukaryota; Metazoa; Chordata; Mammalia; Hyracoidea; Procaviidae. The record is from RNAcentral.